RNAcentral lists this ribosomal RNA (266 nucleotides) under Escherichia coli. RNAcentral describes it as "partial 23S ribosomal RNA". It matches the Rfam family "Bacterial large subunit ribosomal RNA", at positions 1134 to 1398 of the family's 2925-position model. Lineage: Bacteria; Pseudomonadati; Pseudomonadota; Gammaproteobacteria; Enterobacterales; Enterobacteriaceae. The record is from RNAcentral.
GUAAUAGCUCACUGGUCGAGUCGGCCUGCGCGGAAGAUGUAACGGGGCUAAACCAUGCACCGAAGCUGCGGCAGCGACGCUUAUGCGUUGUUGGGUAGGGGAGCGUUCUGUAAGCCUGUGAAGGUGUACUGUGAGGUACGCUGGAGGUAUCAGAAGUGCGAAUGCUGACAUAAGUAACGAUAAAGCGGGUGAAAAGCCCGCUCGCCGGAAGACCAAGGGUUCCUGUCCAACGUUAAUCGGGGCAGGGUGAGUCGACCCCUAAGGCG